RNAcentral lists this ribosomal RNA (460 nucleotides) under uncultured bacterium. RNAcentral's name for it is "partial 16S ribosomal RNA". It matches the Rfam family "Bacterial small subunit ribosomal RNA", at positions 338 to 795 of the family's 1533-position model. The record is from RNAcentral.
CCUACGGGUGGCAGCAGUGAGGAAUAUUGGUCAAUGGGCGGAAGCCUGAACCAGCCAAGUAGCGUGCAGGAUGACGGCCCUAUGGGUUGUAAACUGCUUUUAUACGGGAAUAAAUUGUCUAACGUGUAGGGUUUUGUAUGUACCGUAUGAAUAAGGAUCGGCUAAUGCCGUGCCAGCAGCCGCGGUAAAACGGAGGGUCCGGGCGUUAUCCGGAUUUAUUGGGUUUAAAGGGUGCGUAGGCGGUAUGUUAAGUUAGAGGUGAAAUCCCCGGGCUCAACCCCGGCCUUGCAGCGUGUACUGGCGUGCUAGAGUGCGAGUGAGGCAGGCGGAAUGCGUGGUGUAGCGGUGAAAUGCUUAGAUAUCACGAAGAACCCCGAUUGCGAAGGCAGCUUACUGCGGCUAUACUGACGCUGAGGCACGAAAGCGUGGGGAUCGAACAGGAUUAGAUACCCUUGUAGUC